RNAcentral lists this ribosomal RNA (171 nucleotides) under uncultured Alphaproteobacteria bacterium. Its description in RNAcentral is "16S ribosomal RNA". It matches the Rfam family "Bacterial small subunit ribosomal RNA", at positions 338 to 526 of the family's 1533-position model. The record is from RNAcentral. Lineage: Bacteria; Pseudomonadati; Pseudomonadota; Alphaproteobacteria.
CCUACGGGAGGCAGCAGUGGGGAAUCUUAGACAAUGGGCGCAAGCCUGAUCUAGCCAUGCCGCGUGAGUGAUGAAGGCCUUAGGGUCGUAAAGCUCUUUCGCCUGUGAAGAUAAUGACUGUAGCAGGUAAAGAAACCCCGGCUAACUCCGUGCCAGCAGCCGCGGUAAUAC